RNAcentral lists this ribosomal RNA (1346 nucleotides) under uncultured bacterium. Its description in RNAcentral is "partial 16S ribosomal RNA". It matches the Rfam family "Bacterial small subunit ribosomal RNA", at positions 28 to 1381 of the family's 1533-position model. The record is from RNAcentral.
GACGAACGCUGGCGGCGUGCUUAACACAUGCAAGUCGAACGGAAAGGCCCUGCUUUUGUGGGGUGCUCGAGUGGCGAACGGGUGAGUAACACGUGAGUAACCUGCCCUUGACUUUGGGAUAACUUCAGGAAACUGGGGCUAAUACCGGAUAGGAGCUCCUGCUGCAUGGUGGGGGUUGGAAAGUUUCGGCGGUUGGGGAUGGACUCGCGGCUUAUCAGCUUGUUGGUGGGGUAGUGGCUUACCAAGGCUUUGACGGGUAGCCGGCCUGAGAGGGUGACCGGCCACAUUGGGACUGAGAUACGGCCCAGACUCCUACGGGAGGCAGCAGUGGGGAAUAUUGCACAAUGGGCGGAAGCCUGAUGCAGCAACGCCGCGUGCGGGAUGACGGCCUUCGGGUUGUAAACCGCUUUCGCCUGUGACGAAGCGUGAGUGACGGUAAUGGGUAAAGAAGCACCGGCUAACUACGUGCCAGCAGCCGCGGUGAUACGUAGGGUGCGAGCGUUGUCCGGAUUUAUUGGGCGUAAAGGGCUCGUAGGUGGUUGAUCGCGUCGGAAGUGUAAUCUUGGGGCUUAACCCUGAGCGUGCUUUCGAUACGGGUUGACUUGAGGAAGGUAGGGGAGAAUGGAAUCCCUGGUGGAGCGGUGGAAUGCGCAGAUAUCAGGAGGAACACCAGUGGCGAAGGCGGUUCUCUGGGCCUUUCCUGACGCUGAGGAGCGAAAGCGUGGGGAGCGAACAGGCUUAGAUACCCUGGUAGUCCACGCUGUAAACGGUGGGUACUAGGUGUGGGGUCCAUUCCACGGGUUCCGUGCCGUAGCUAACGCUUUAAGUACCCCGCCUGGGGAGUACGGCCGCAAGGCUAAAACUCAAAGGAAUUGACGGGGCCCCGCACAAGCGGCGGAGCAUGCGGAUUAAUUCGAUGCAACGCGUAGAACCUUACCUGGGUUUGACAUGGAUCGGGAGUGCUCAGAGAUGGGUGUGCCUCUUUUGGGGUCGGUUCACAGGUGGUGCAUGGCUGUCGUCAGCUCGUGUCGUGAGAUGUUGGGUUAAGUCCCGCAACGAGCGCAACCCUUGUUCACUGUUGCCAGCACGUUAUGGUGGGGACUCAGUGGAGACCGCCGGGGUCAACUCGGAGGAAGGUGGGGAUGACGUCAAGUCAUCAUGCCCCUUAUGUCCAGGGCUUCACGCAUGCUACAAUGGCUGGUACAGAGAGUGGCGAGCCUGUGAGGGUGAGCGAAUCUCGGAAAGCCGGUCUCAGUUCGGAUUGGGGUCUGCGACUCGACCUCAUGAAGUCGGAGUCGCUAGUAAUCGCAGAUCAGCAACGCUGCGGUGAAUACGUUCCCGGGGCU